GACGAACGCUGGCGGCGUGCCUAAUACAUGCAAGUCGAGCGCUGAAGGCGGAGCUUGCUUCUCUGGAUGAGUUGCGAACGGGUGAGUAACGCGUAGGUAACCUGCCUGGUAGCGGGGGAUAACUAUUGGAAACGAUAGCUAAUACCGCAUAAUAUUGACUAUUGCAUGAUAGUCAGUUGAAAGGUGCAACUGCACCACUACCAGAUGGACCUGCGUUGUAUUAGCUAGUUGGUGGGGUAACGGCUCACCAAGGCGACGAGACAUAGCCGACCUGAGAGGGGGAUCGGCCACACUGGGAGGGAGACACGGCCCAGACUCCUACGGGAGGCAGCAGUAGGGAAACGGCGGCAAGGGACGGAAGACUGAGCGAGCAACGCCGCGGGAGGGAAGAAGGAUGUCGGAUCGGAAAGCUCUGUUGUAAGAGAAGAACGAGUGUGAGAGUGGAAAGCUCACACUGUGACGGUAUCUUACCAGAAAGGGACGGCUAACUACGUG
RNAcentral lists this ribosomal RNA (495 nucleotides) under uncultured bacterium. RNAcentral describes it as "partial 16S ribosomal RNA". It matches the Rfam family "Bacterial small subunit ribosomal RNA", at positions 28 to 507 of the family's 1533-position model. The record is from RNAcentral.